Molecule: small nuclear RNA, 109 nt
Organism: Cercocebus atys (sooty mangabey)
Lineage: Eukaryota; Metazoa; Chordata; Mammalia; Primates; Cercopithecidae
Source: Ensembl
AUGCUCGCUUUGGCCAGCACACGUACUAAACAUUCCAACAACACAGAGAAGAUUAGCAUAGCCCCUGUGCAAUGAUGACAUGCAAAUCUGUGAAGCAUUCCGUACUUUA